This 1218-nucleotide long non-coding RNA is filed under the name Vulpes vulpes (red fox). Its description in RNAcentral is "lncRNA (ENSVVUG00000013965.1)". The record is from RNAcentral. Lineage: Eukaryota; Metazoa; Chordata; Mammalia; Carnivora; Canidae.
AACGGACGCCAUGACACUUGUGUAGCUGUGCCGUCUGUCUUCAGAACACUCUACUUCCUUUGUUGCUCACAAUUGUGCCCUGUUUUCUCUUCUAUCUGUAGUCAAAGAAGUAGAAUAUGGACAGAAAUGGCGGCUACAUCCUCUUUAACACAAGACAGAAUGACAAAAGCCAAGAAGAUGCAGAUAUGGAGGAUUGACGAAGUUAAGUGACAUGGCUUUUAGUUUUGCUUCUACCUGCACAACUCAUCACUUAAGGACCUCUGAUUAUCCAGAGUUGAAAAAAUGUUCAAUAAAAAUUACAUGUUGCUAUGGAAACAUGAAAAAUCACAGAUACCUGCUCUACUCAGAGGUAGAUUUUUUUGCCCUGCUCAGCAAAAGAGACAUUUUGGCCAAUGCCAAAUUCAACCGAUCUGAAUUCAAUGGUGGAAAUUUGCAAUUAAAGAUGGGGAAAGAUGACUGGUAGGAAUACAGCUCUACAAAAGGAAGGACAUGGAGAUACAUAAGGAAGAAAUUCCCAUUUCCUGCUCCAGAUUCAGAACGAGAUUAUUGGCAACAAAUUAUUAUUCUAAAAAAUAUCUAUCACAUCUGAAGUUUUGGAGUCAUCUUUCUGUUGCUUUUGAAAGCAAUAACAUGUAACAGAGGGCAUGAAGAUGUGAGGGAGAAGACCCAGAUUAAAUGGAUGUUUAAUAUGCAAAUGAUAUUGAAGGCUUUGAGUUAGAAGUAUCUCUGGAAAGCACACAUGGUAUGAACUUUUUGUACACUGUUUUCUGCAAAAUCCUCAUACCCAAGACAGGCCAUGAGCAGGUGGGUAGAGACAUAAGAAGGAGGUUCUGUGGGUUGGACUCUGGGACUCUUACCCUCAGCUCAACCAGAGCUAAUGGGUUUGUUUUUAACCUGUUUUAUAUACUAGGGUUCAAGAUAUGAUUGUUGAAAAGAAGGCAGUAGGACUAGAAAAGGGAAUGCUUUAGCACAUUGAGUUGAACCAGAGGUUGCAUAAGAGCCGGGGCUAGAUCUCACAGUUUCCUUUUUCACUACCCAGGACUGCUCCUUCGUGUGCAUUCUCAGAUAUGAAGGUGAGCUGCCUGAUGGCAUAAAGGGAAUUAAAUUGCAUUCCAAUGAUCAGCACUGGAUUCACAUGUUAUGUUUAAUACUGGAAUCCCUGCUAUGGGCAAGUAGAAUUCCUGUGUGUUUGCUUAGAGCAAAGGGCUAUUCACAUAU